GCUCGUGUAGCUCAGUGGAAGAGCACCCAUUUAGUAAGCGGGAGGUCUCGAGAUCAAAACUCGACAUGAGCA
Transfer RNA from Volvox carteri f. nagariensis, 72 nucleotides. It matches the Rfam family "tRNA". From Rfam's summary of the family: Transfer RNA (tRNA) molecules are approximately 80 nucleotides in length. Their secondary structure includes four short double-helical elements and three loops (D, anti-codon, and T loops). NCBI's taxonomy places the organism in Eukaryota, Viridiplantae, Chlorophyta, Chlorophyceae, Chlamydomonadales, Volvocaceae. The record is from Rfam.